UCAGGGUGAUAGGAUUCGAACCUACGACAUCUUGCUCCCAAAGCAAGCGCGCUACCAGACUGCGCUACACCCUG
RNAcentral lists this transfer RNA (74 nucleotides) under Chlorella sorokiniana. Its description in RNAcentral is "tRNA-Pro". Lineage: Eukaryota; Viridiplantae; Chlorophyta; Trebouxiophyceae; Chlorellales; Chlorellaceae. RNAcentral also lists the same sequence under 1 other name. The record is from RNAcentral.